UUUUUUCGCCAGGACGAACGCUGGCGGCGUGCUUAACACAUGCAAGUCGAGCGGUAAGGCCUUUCGGGGUACACGAGCGGCGAACGGGUGAGUAACACGUGGGUGAUCUGCCCUGCACUUCGGGAUAAGCCUGGGAAACUGGGUCUAAUACCGGAUAUGACCUCAGGUUGCAUGACGUGGGGUGGAAAGAUUUAUCGGUGCAGGAUGGGCCCGCGGCCUAUCAGCUUGUUGGUGGGGUAAUGGCCUACCAAGGCGACGACGGGUAGCCGACCUGAGAGGGUGACCGGCCACACUGGGACUGAGACACGGCCCAGACUCCUACGGGAGGCAGCAGUGGGGAAUAUUGCACAAUGGGCGAAAGCCUGAUGCAGCGACGCCGCGUGAGGGAUGACGGCCUUCGGGUUGUAAACCUCUUUCAGCAGGGACGAAGCGCAAGUGACGGUACCUGCAGAAGAAGCACCGGCUAACUACGUGCCAGCAGCCGCGGUAAUACGUAGGGUGCAAGCGUUGUCCGGAAUUACUGGGCGUAAAGAGUUCGUAGGCGGUUUGUCGCGUCGUUUGUGAAAACCAGCAGCUCAACUGCUGGCUUGCAGGCGAUACGGGCAGACUUGAGUACUGCAGGGGAGACUGGAAUUCCUGGUGUAGCGGUGAAAUGCGCAGAUAUCAGGAGGAACACCGGUGGCGAAGGCGGGUCUCUGGGCAGUAACUGACGC
Molecule: ribosomal RNA, 713 nt
Filed under: Rhodococcus sp. (in: high G+C Gram-positive bacteria)
Lineage: Bacteria; Bacillati; Actinomycetota; Actinomycetes; Mycobacteriales; Nocardiaceae
Description: bacterial SSU rRNA
Rfam family: Bacterial small subunit ribosomal RNA
Source: RNAcentral